Molecule: long non-coding RNA, 1784 nt
Organism: Syngnathoides biaculeatus (alligator pipefish)
Lineage: Eukaryota; Metazoa; Chordata; Actinopteri; Syngnathiformes; Syngnathidae
Exons: 6
Source: RefSeq, a predicted model, not a curated record
AAAAUGUUAGCCGUUUUCCUGCGUGACGUUGGUGGGCAAGCAGACUUUCGGCGGCUAAUUAGCUUCAGUCUGGCUCCUUAGCUUAAAGCCACCGACGUCUUGCUAACAAGCGCGACCAAGAAAUGGAUUUACGAGCCUCAAAAGGUUCGCUUUGGUUCCGUUCGGGACGCUUGCCAAACACCCGUCCCAUCCCCUUGCGUCAUGUUUUUUUUUUUUUUUUUACCCCCCCUGUUUGCGUCUCUGCUAAUCGUGUCGUCCAUUUGCUUUGUUUUACUCUGAUGUCCGCAGCUCGGUCGGCGUUUUCAAAAUCCCUCAUUUUAAACGGGAUAAAUAAAAGCUCGAUGAAUAAUUUAUUCAUGGGUAGCUUUUGUUGCUGUUUAUCAAAAAGAAGGACGAACCCGAAAAUUUUAAUUUCAAUCGUUCACCCUACAAACAUACUAAGAUGACAGAAAGCUUCCUUUCCUGUCAACCAAUCAGCGUUCACCUGCUUGGUUCACCCAAUCCAAGAGUUGCCCGUAGGCGGAAGUUCACGUGACCGAUCGGCAACAUGGACUCGGGCGAGGAGGAAGUGUUGCAAAGUUUGUCACGGGUCUCUUCAUGAAAACGCUUAAAGUCAUCAAUCAUCCGGCGGGUCCGUUUUUUAACCAACCUGAACCAAGCCCGUCAGGUGCUCCAGGACGCCCUCCGUGGGGAGCUGCAGCAGGUGGUUGUUCCUCAGGUUGAGGCGAGCCAGGUUGACGGCGGAAAACACACCCAGAGGAAGACUCCGGAGGAGGUUGGCGUUCAGGAACAGGAGCUGGAGCGACGGCAUGGCGUCCAAGGUUCCCCGUUCCAUCUCUCGGAUCUCGUUGUACUCGAAGUAAAGGUACCUGAAGCCGGAGGGCGAGAGGGGCCUGAGAGAAGCGUCCUGCGAACGGGCGUUCGUCGCAAUCGGCGCCCGUGUGCGGGUGUUUGAGCCCCGAUUAAACUCAUUACCUGUUUCAACGGAGAUUUAUGGAGAAUGAAAGAGUCACAGAAAGGUAUAGACGUGGGAACCUAUAGAAAGUAAGAAAAAUAUACUGGAUGAUUUGCCCUGGAGCCCCAAGAGAACAGCAAGCUCUCCAAAAUGUACUGAACAGUUGGACGUGUGAGUUGAAAGGUUUAAAGAAGAAUUUUGUUACCGCCACCGUCCACGUUUCACACGGAUGUUUAUUGCAGACGCACCCACCACAAGGCCACAAGUGGAAAACAUUGCCAAAAACGACAAAGGGGAGUCUGUUACAAGGAGCCCGGUUGAUUGGUUUCCCAAAGCCUAAAACACAGUUGACGAAGUGUCUACGAUGGAUUAAGGCUAGCGGAAGACCCGACGUACGACUAAAUGUGGGCAAUAUCAACAAAAGACAAGGCCGUAUGUUCCAAGAUCAAAAAACUCCACAGUCAGCUCUCAUAGAUGUUUCGAUACCCAUGGGCGGCGCCAAGAGCCCCAAGGGUCCCCCCUCCCCCCACUUCCGUUGGCAACAAUCGUAGGAGAUAGUUGGUGUCGUAAGUCACCUUGUCUGUUACUUUUGAUUCAUGGUCAUGCAUAAUAAUGCUUAAUUCUUACAUCCCAACUCCCCUCAGCUCAUCAAUACGGCACUAAUAUUAGUCAGUCUACACAAGGGUGAGUGAGUAUACAGUAUGAUUGUGACUCCUUUUGUGAUGUCAAUCCAUUUCUAUAAUUUAUAUAUCAUUUAAAGAUGAAAAUACUCUGAAAUGUUGUUGUUUUUUUUUUACCUGGAUUUAAAAACAAUCACACUUGGGGCUGA